GGGAGUAGAUUCUGUUAAAAUAGUUUAAUGUGAUUUGCUCUAUCAUGGAUACGUUUGUCUUAGUGUAUUUUGGCAUUACUUUUGUUGUAGAUUAAAUGGCACCUAGCAGCACUACACCGUUUGCUUUGCGUUCGGUCCUUGAGAAGGAAAAGUUAAAUGGAACAAACUACUCGGAUUGGAUCUGUAACCUGAGAAUUGUUCUCAGGGCUAAGAAAAAGGAAGAUGUUCUAGACAACCCACUACCAGAAGAACCUGCUGAUGAUGCACCUGCUGCUGCUAAGAAUGCUU
RNAcentral lists this long non-coding RNA (288 nucleotides) under Setaria viridis. RNAcentral's name for it is "long non-coding RNA (SVIR_LNC006516)". Lineage: Eukaryota; Viridiplantae; Streptophyta; Magnoliopsida; Poales; Poaceae. The record is from RNAcentral.